AGAACGAACGCUGGCGGCAGGCUUAACACAUGCAAGUCGAGCGGGUAGCAAUACCAGCGGCAGACGGGUGAGUAACACGUGGGAACCUUCCUAGAGGUACGGAACAACGCAGGGAAACUUGCGCUAAUACCGUAUGUGCUCUUGCGAGGAAAGAUUUAUCGCCUUUAGACGGGCCCGCGUCGGAUUAGCUAGUUGGUGGGGUAAUGGCCUACCAAGGCAACGAUCCGUAGCUGAUCUGAGAGGAUGAUCAGCCUCACUGGGACUGAGACACGGCCCAGACUCCUACGGGAGGCAGCAGUGGGGAAUAUUGGACAAUGGGCGAAAGCCUGAUCCAGCCAUGCCGCGUGAAUGAUGAAGGCCUUCGGGUUGUAAAGUUCUUUUGACGGGGACGAUGAUGACGGUACCCGUAGAAUAAGCACCGGCUAACUUCGUGCCAGCAGCCGC
This 444-nucleotide ribosomal RNA is filed under the name uncultured bacterium. RNAcentral describes it as "SSU rRNA". It matches the Rfam family "Bacterial small subunit ribosomal RNA", at positions 26 to 518 of the family's 1533-position model. The record is from RNAcentral.